CAAAACUCUAGUACCACCAGGGAGGCAACACGGGAGCCCACUACAGCCAGCAUCCCAGUCACAAAGAAAAACUGCAGCAUCCCGAAAAGUCCACUGCUGAGCAGUGAAGCGGUGAGUGAACAGUGAUUCCAGGCAGCAGAUAACCCUCUGAGGAGAAGAAGGACUUCCCACAUGGACUCCAACAGUGCUGGCAGCGUGCAAUAUGAUCGCCGGAACGAGGAAAACAUCAACAUGAAAGUCGAUGCACCACAGUCUUCUGUGAUGAGGCCCAUUGGUGCAGGAGUCAAUGUUGCAGGAAGCUGUGAAUCAAAAGUCCCUUAAAUCGGUCUGGUGUAAGUCUCUGAAUUCGGGGACGGCUGCUUUGCUCCCUGCUGCAAGAGCAACACAAAUUUUAUUAUAUUUAUUGGAUCAUAAUCGUCUUUAAGCUAAACUCAUGAGCCCUCUGCCGUAGCUCGACGUGCGCCUCCAAAAUUUUUUUACUUUGUGUCGAGGCGACGCAGACCGCAAGGACUGCGAUUGGUCAACUCGUCCUGUGUGUUGAUAGUCGGUGUUUCAAGCAGCCUACUGUGGGGAGUAGCAACACGCUAGUUCACUGUUCGUGGAGUUGAUGCAGAAGCAUAAAAAAGCUUUAGUUCUAAACAACUUUACCUCAGCUCUACCUGAGAGUCCACCAAGCAGAGGUCAGUAAAUAAAUAUCUUCUGGUGUGUGGUGCUGUUGAAGACUUUGAACCAUCUGCAGUAAUUGUUAUUCCAUUUAGAAGAAUGAGUUUGGCUUAUUACCAGGAGUCAUUCAACAAACGUCUUGCGUUAAUACACACUAAGACAGAGAGUUCUAGUGGUGGU
Molecule: long non-coding RNA, 843 nt
Organism: Perca fluviatilis (European perch)
Lineage: Eukaryota; Metazoa; Chordata; Actinopteri; Perciformes; Percidae
Exons: 3
Source: RefSeq, a predicted model, not a curated record